Molecule: ribosomal RNA, 402 nt
Filed under: bacterium
Lineage: Bacteria
Description: partial 16S ribosomal RNA
Rfam family: Bacterial small subunit ribosomal RNA
Source: RNAcentral
UGGGGAAUUUUGCACAAUGGGGGAAACCCCGAUGCAGCGACGCCGCGUGAUUUAGAAGGCCUUCGGGUUGUAAAAAUCUUUUCUAUGGGAAGAAAAUGACAGUACCAUAGGAAUAAGGACCGGCUAAUUACGUGCCAGCAGCCGCGGUAAUACGUAAGGUCCGAGCGUUGUCCGGAAUCAUUGGGCGUAAAGGGUACGUAGGCGGGUAAGCAAGUUAGAAGUGAAAUCCUAUAGCUCAACUAUAGUAAGCUUUUAAAACUGCUCAUCUUGAGGUAUGGAAGGGAAAGUAGAAUUCCUAGGGUAGCGGUGAAAUGCGCAGAUAUUAGGAGGAAUACCGGUGGCGAAGGCGACUUUCUGGCCAUAACCUGACGCUGAGGUACGAAAGCGUGGGUAGCAAACAGG